CAGAGGGACAGACAGAUGCCAGGUUGCAGGCACAGGAUGAGGACGGGGAAGCAGGUCUUGCUGGAGAUGUCUGAUCCCCGCUGGGUGCCAGGAAGGCCAAAGGGAGCUUAUCCAAGAGGUGCUCCUUAGGUUAGGUUGGCCUCAGACAUUUGCUGCUUCCCAACAGUCGGACCGGUUGGCCCCAGAACAUCACAGAGGAAGUGGCCUUGAUGGGGGCCAGGCCGGCGGUUGAGCAGCGGCUGAGGACCCACAAGAAGGGCCCACUGCUGACCUCCGAGACCACCUCUGUACCCACAGUCUUCAAGUGGUGGUGGCGGAAUAACCCUCUUGGGGGUGACCCCAGCAGGACUGGGUGGGCCGCAAGCCCUGCUCCAGGCUCCGUCAUGAUCUCAAGGGCAUCCAGGGAGGCUUUGGACCCAGGACAGCUCCCAGGACCACCCGUCAGGACCUUGGCCAGAGCUCAGCAAGAACCGCAGGUGCCAGGCACGGCAAUGGUGGGGUGUUGCUCCAGCAGACUGCUGGGUUCUAGUGCCUGCUGCUAAGGCAGCCUGACUUGGUUCUGCCCCUGCCGUGGCAAUCCAAGGAGCCUGGCCUGAUUUUUCAGGCAUUUGCUCCAGUGAUGCUGGGGGCCUCUGCCCUGACCAGGAGGUCCUCAGAGGGCUCUUCCGACUCGGCAGACAUAGACAAGGCAGCGCCCGUGGGUUUUGGCAGAGUUGGGGGUCUCCUGGCUCACCUAGUGUGGAGGUCCCAGUGGCGCAGUCUCACCAUAUAUAUGCCUGCUCACUGGUGCCCCCCCCCCGAAGGUUGCCUCCUCUGAACUCCCUGCCCCAUCUCACACCUGGGGUGCUCUGCAGUCUGGAAUCAUGAUUGGGUUCCAAGCUCCAUCUAAAGCGAUUCCUGGAGAUUUCCUUUCCCAUCUCCCCCCAAUCUCCCCCCUCCCCACAAACCAAACCAUUUAAACCCCCAGGAUUGCUUUCCAUGGAUUCCAGGAAAUGGAUGCCGAUUCCUGGAGACUGUGAGCCAUUCCUGGAGGUUGGCAACCCUAAGCCCUGGUACGAGAGGGUCCGUGGGGGGCAGUUUGCCCAGGGCCCCCGGAACCUGGAAUCAGUGGCCAGAGGACCAAAAGGAUUGUGGAGAGCUUUGUGGGUGCCCAUAAGGAGGCUGGAACCCUGGAGCUGUUGCGGAUGGGCCGGUGGCUGCAGUGAGGAGGUGAGGAGCCUGGGAAACGGCAGUAGGAGGCAGGCAGCAAGGACCAGCCUGUAGAGAAGACGGGGCAGAAGAAAAGGGAGCUCACACUGGCCGGCAAGCCCGAGGGGAGGGAAGCAGAGCAGCAGGGAGCAGCUUGUGCCCUGGACUUGUGAAAAGGUCACCAUUGUUGCCGGUCAACAGGCAAAAGCAGGAUUUGUGCAGCCCAGACCGAAGCAUGCCAAGCAGCCUCAAAGGCCAUGAGCUCAACUGUACUGAAUCAGAGUCGUCAUCAUUCCCACCCACCAGUGGUCUUUCAUCUGUGGUUUUUCCUCUGUGUGCAGAAUGAGUUUCAUUCUGGGCGGCAGUAUCAGGGCAGUGUGCGUGCCUGUGCAUUCAGAGGGCGGCCUUCCUGAUUCAACCUCAGAGGGAUCUAAAAUGAACUGAGUGGAUAUCAAAAAACGGUGUGAGCACACGCACACACGCACGCACACCUUAGAGGGAACAGUGCCAUCCACCCCCACUCUCUGCCAAGGACCGUAUAUGUCCCGUGUUGGGGAAAAGAACUGCUGAGCCACAAAAACAGGAGGUUAAGAAGUCUGGAGAAGAGGGAGACUUUCCAUUCAUUCAUUCCAUUUAUAUGCCGCCCGUCCACAACUAACCCAGGGUGGGGCACAGUCAGAACUAAAACCAUUUAAAACAUAAAACUCAUCCAAAAAAAAAAAAAAAUUAAAACCACUUAACUGAUAUUAAAAUCCAGGCUGGAGAUGUGGGUCUUUAGGGCUCUCUUGGAAGCCUCCAGGAAUGAUAAGCCAUGGGUGUGCGUUCUAGGGACGGCUACUGAGAAGACUCGAUUCCAGGUUGCCACCAGGUGAACUAGUGGUGGCACCUGAAGAUGGACCUCUCAGGAGAAGCAAAAGCCAACCAGGGCUAACUGGGGAAGGAGGAGUCUCCGGCCUCAUCCCCUCCCCUCCCCCCCUCCUCCUGGAUUUCCCUGGCUUCAGAUCUCAGAACUACUGGGUGGACUACCAACCGGAUUCCAAAUGGGAGAGCCCUGCAGAACUGGCAAUGCUGUGUGAGAGAGGCACUGUCACUGACAGCUCUCACGUGCUCAAACUGAAGCGGUCCCAUUCUAGGGCCUUUUGGGAGGAAAAUUCAGACCUGCACGAUGGCACGAGAGUGUAAUGUGCACAUGUAGCGCUUGCCACUACAACAGGCACUGGUGCAGUUUCCUUGUCUGUUGUCACAGACUGUGUGGCCAGGAAUCCCAUGCCAUGCCAUUACGAAGAAGCCUCCACAGAGUGGGAGAAAAGCCUCAGGAUGGGGACUCGGACAGCACGAUAUUUGCAGAAGAGUGUUGUGUUCUCCGGUGAAGACGCGAUGGGGCAGGGCAGGGCAGUGGAGUCUGCGGGGAACAUCUUUGGGAGAAGGAGGAGAAACGGGGACGUUGGAUCUGGGUCUGGGUUCUAGAGGAACCUGGACUACUCACUGGACUUUUCUCUCUGUUAACAGUUGAAAUAUGUAGACCCCACCCCCUCCAGUACACUCACCGCUUGGGCGACUAACCAAGUCAGUAAAACCAACACACUAUAACAAUCUAGAACUGAUAAAAUGGAAACUAACUCAAACCAAAUCUCCGUUAGUAGGCUGUUCAGUGAACGUGCAUGGUCAGGCAAGCAGGUGGGGGGAAGGCAGGAUUCAACCUACCUCCCCCCAGAUGACUGCUCUGAUCCCCUGAGGCGCGCAAAACACAAGUCCACACAGCCAGUCCUCCUGGCAGCACAGGGGAACAGAUCCCACAGUGCAUCGUGCAGCAAGCACAAUGCACUGGAGGGUCCCCCCCCCCAUCUCUGUGUCAGCACAAGCUGCAAGCAGCUCACACUGACCCACAAUCCCAGGAGCCGGGUUAAGGGUGCAUUUGUGCCCAUAACCUCGGCUAAGAGCCGGGCUUUGGUGCUGGGUUGAGUUCUUCUCCAGGGCAGCCAACCCCAGGCAUGGCUACUUACAGCUGGGCUUGAAUACUCGUGAGGACAGCUUCAGUCACUGGCUGACACUUCUUACAUAAUUUGAAUGUCGCCUGACUUGAAUUUUUGACCAGCACAAACAUUCUUUUAGAACUGCACUUUAAAAAAGAAAAAUGCACAUUUUGUGUCUGGUGGCACAUUUUUUUAAAAACAUGCUCUGUCCCAUUCACAUUUGAGCUUUCAAAGUUCGGCAUCUGAACCCAACUUUUGACAUUCAUGGCACUGAUGAAUGCAACUUCUGCUGCUGGAAUUCUGACUUCCUUCACUGAAGUUUGAGUUUCUGUCCACCAUAUUCCAUCCUCGCGGCCCAAAGUGGCCUGGCAACAUUUCAGUAUCUCCUUCUGAUGUGAAGAUAGAAACCCACAUAUGGAUUUUUCAUGAUUUCUCAUUCGCACUUUCAGAUUUGCUGUCCCUGCUAUCUUUUGGGGGAAGGUAUUGUGUUAUUUUCUUGCACUGUACAGUAUUGUCUGAAUGGCUCCCUGCGUCGUCUUCGGCGCUCUCUGCUGACUUCAUAUUUCUUUCUGCCUAAAUGAUUUUGCACAGUGUAUGAAAGGUUGAUGUACAAGAGCACAAGGCACAAGAGAUAAAAGGAGCUAAGAUGAUGGAGGAGGAAUGGAAGUCGUGAGAGGGCAGGAGAGAUGCAGAAAACUGGUGAGGAAAUGGAAAAGAAAGACGGAAGGAAGUCGCAAAGAAGAAAACCCAAACAUGAAAUGUCUGAAAGAAGAGUGAAAAAGCAACUGUGCCAAAAUAGAAGAAAGGAAACAAAAACCACGACCAAAGCUUUUGAGAAAGAAGAGAAGGAUGGGGAAAUGAGACUAUACUGCUAAGAUGACAUUCUUCCUCCCAGCAUUUUGGCAAAAAGUCAAAUAUGGAGAGAGAAAUGGAGGAUCUUUAUUGGAUGGCAAGGAAUGUGCCACUCUCAUGGAGUUCUUCUAGUGGAAAUAUGUUUAUUUGGCCUUUCACCCCGAUAUAUGCCUGCUUUGGCAUGCUUGGUAUUUGUCUGUGAAGACUCAUCCACUUGGAACCCAAUGAUGCCCAGAGACAAGGGUUUGGUUGUGUUGUGAGCAAAACUCAGGUAAGUUGACGGGAUGGGGUGAAGGGUUCUGAGUGUCUGCUCCUCUCAUUUCAAAUGAAAGACUGUCUGCUUGGCUGGAGCUAAGCCUGCAGAACAGGAAAUCAACCACCCGUCAGCAUCAAGAUCUCAGCAAUGCCGCUGGUGGGAAGAAAGACACAGCUGAGCUGUUGCCACUCCUGAUUCUCAGGUUAAUGAAAUGUUGAGUCAUCAUCUACAAUAUGGUAUUUUGAAGUCAUAGAUAUUAUGCCCGCAAAUGUGCACAAAAUUGUCAUAUGGAAACACACCAUGAUAUGCAGAGUUUAGCCCCGAAGUGCUUGUUGAUAUUUUGGUAGUUUCCGUAACUUCUGAUGUGACAAUUCUGUAAUGGUAGUAAGUACUUUAGGUGGGUACACAGGUAAGUUUUCCUUGGUCCCACCCUUGGUCCCUUCCAACAGCUGUACCAGAUGCCUCCACAUCUGGCAAGAGCAGAUGUCAAGAAAGUGGCCAGUACCAUUCUGGAAGAAGUUGGGGGUGUCAGAAGAUGGCAGAAGAUGACUCACUAAAAGGUGAGCAAAUGUUUCGUAAUUUCUAGAAACCAUUUUCAACCCCACCCUAUUCUUGCCAGGAGGAUGUGUUUAUAUAAUGUGUUCAAUAAUGUGUUGUUGCAGAAUGCCAGACUCUUCCAGAUAAAUGAGGACCGAUCAUCCUGCAAACCUGAAGGUAUAUACCAACAGUAGAAACAUUAAUUGCAGAGGAAAGAUUGUUGAGUACAUAUUGGCAGGAAUUGACUCCCAAGAACAUGAUCUGCCUUCUUUUGUCUAGGGGAAGGCCACAUGCUCAAGGAAGAAGAGAAGAGGUGAUGCCCACACAGCGGAAGUGUGUCAAGAGGUGAUCAUUUUUGCCUACAAAUUACCAUUGACAGUAAUGAGUAUCAAUGAUCCUUUGUUUGACAGUCACUGGCUAUCUUUUUUUUUUUUUUUUUUGCAAACUGAGCUAUACAGUUGGAACCUGCAAGGAGGUAGAGAGAGCGAGCUGCUGUCACCACCAACCUAAACAGGAACGGGUUGAUCCCAUCACACAAAGGACCACUUCCAAGUACAGGUGAGAAUUCCACAAUUCACUGGUGAGAAUUUCAGCUUCUGCAUUGUUCUCUUUGGGUUGCAAAGCAUGUUCCUCUGUGGUGAUGACUCUUUCAACAGCUUAUCGCCUUCAGGGGUGGUGAAGUCAGAACUGGAAGGAAAAGGCCCUCAACUCCUGUCGAGAUCAAGACGAUGCUUCUGGACCAGAUGGGGCCUUCUUGUCAGGUUUGUCACCUUCAGUGGUGGUGCAGUGAGAACUGAAGGGGCCCAGAGACCAGCGCCUUGGACACCCCAUCAAAACCUAGGAGAACAAAAGCAGGGUCUCAUAUCCAUCUAGCGUGAGUGAGUGGAAGUGUCUGGUCCUUGCUGACAUGCCCAGGGUAGCACUGACCGCCACCUUUGGGGUCGGGAAGGAAUUUUCCUCCAGGGCAGAUUGGCCAAGGUCCUGGAGGUUUUUCGCCUUCCUCUGGGCAUCCAGCAGGGGUCACUUAUUAGGCUAUUUUGGAAUUGAAUAUAAAUGGUAUCAAUAUUUGAAGUUUUGAAAAGCUGAACAGCAAAUAAAAAUAGAAUCCGUAAAAAAGAGAGAAAGAAAAUAAAUAACAGUCAUAAAUUUGAA
This is a long non-coding RNA of Hemicordylus capensis (graceful crag lizard), 5958 nucleotides long. RefSeq lists it as uncharacterized. Lineage: Eukaryota; Metazoa; Chordata; Lepidosauria; Squamata; Cordylidae. The record is from RefSeq and is a predicted model, not a curated record. The transcript has 2 exons.